CCUACGGGGGGCAGCAGUGGGGAAUAUUGCACAAUGGGGGAAACCCUGAUGCAGCGACGCCGCGUGAGUGAAGAAGUAUUUCGGUAUGUAAAGCUCUAUCAGCAGGGAAGAAAAAAGACGGUACCUGACUAAGAAGCCCCGGCUAACUACGUGCCAGCAGCCGCGGUAAUACGUAGGGGGCAAGCGUUGUUCGGAAUGACUGGGCGUAAAGGGUGCGUAGGCGGUUAUACAAGUUAGAAGUGAAAUACCCAGGGCUUAACUCGGGUGCUGCUCCUAAAACUGUAAGACUUGAGUGCAGUAGAGGG
This 305-nucleotide ribosomal RNA is filed under the name uncultured bacterium. RNAcentral describes it as "bacterial SSU rRNA". It matches the Rfam family "Bacterial small subunit ribosomal RNA", at positions 338 to 658 of the family's 1533-position model. The record is from RNAcentral.